GCUACGGGGGGCAGCAGUGGGGAAUAUUGCACAAUGGGGGAAACCCUGAUGCAGCGACGCCGCGUGAGUGAAGAAGUAUUUCGGUAUGUAAAGCUCUAGCAGCAGGGAAGAAAAUGACGGUACCUGACUAAGAAGCCCCGGCUAACUACGUGCCAGCAGCCGCGGUAAUACGUAGGGGGCAAGAGUUAUCCGGAUUUACUGGGUGGAAAGGGAGCGUAGAAGGCCAGCCAAGUCCGAAGUGACAGCCCAGGGCUCAACCCUGGGAAUGCUGUUGACACUGCCGGGCUGGAGUGCAGGAGAGGUAAGCGGAAUUCCUAGUGUAGCGGUGAAAUGCUUAGAUAUCACGAAGAACUCCGAUUGCGAAGGCAGCUUACUAAACUGCCACUGACAUUGAUGCUCGAAAGUGUGGGUAUCAAACAGGAUUAGAUACCCCGGUAGUC
RNAcentral lists this ribosomal RNA (440 nucleotides) under uncultured bacterium. RNAcentral's name for it is "partial 16S ribosomal RNA". It matches the Rfam family "Bacterial small subunit ribosomal RNA", at positions 338 to 795 of the family's 1533-position model. The record is from RNAcentral.